Non-coding RNA from Phalacrocorax carbo (great cormorant), 5476 nucleotides. Lineage: Eukaryota; Metazoa; Chordata; Aves; Suliformes; Phalacrocoracidae. The record is from RefSeq and is a predicted model, not a curated record.
UUUUUCUUUUUUUUUUUGGUGUUUUUUUUUUUGCCAACCACACCUCAGACAAACUUGUAGAUGAGCCAACCCAAACCAUAUAAUUUAAAACUGCAUUCUGUUGAGACCAAGCAGCAUAAAGGGAUGGAGUUCUUCUGGACAUUUAGAAACACUUGAAUUCUUUGACUUAUCCUCUGUCCUCUGCGGUUUUCAACCAGUUUGAUGCCUUGAGCUGUGUUACCCACUUUUCUCAGAAAGGCCAGGAGAGAAGGAGGGUGUUCAGGAGUAUGCGCUAUCAGCAGGGCUAGCUUGUGGGGCAGCCAGGCCUGAGCUGCCGUGCUUAUAUUCCAGGAGCGUGGCUUUCCCAGUAAAGAUAGAGCCUUCCAUCUCUUCCAGUUCUGAGCCAACCCACAAUCCUUAUAUUUUCAUUUAGUCAAACUGGUAUUAAAAAAACUGAUUUUUUUUUUAAAUUUUGGCCUUACGCAGUUCUGGUUCUUUGUCAUUAAUCAGAUCAAGUCAGCUUUUUGCAGGAACUGUGACAGUAGCGUCAUCACUCUGAUCUCUGUCAAAUCCCCCCCCCAAAAUCCCUUCAGCUGCUUUGGUAAGCUUACACUUUUUCUGUAGAGCCCCUUGAUGUGUAAAAUGUAUGCAAUGUUUUGAUCAAAGGAGUUCUUGUACUUAAUGCAAAUUUCAACACCCUUACAGCAGUCAGAUGUGAAUGUAUAGAUCUAAUCCUCCUGAUCUCCACAGAGUGACACUGGGCCCAGGGGACAUCAGUCCAGCUAGCGAGGAGGGCAGGGAUGGUUGGUGGAAGGAGUUCUGACGAGACAAUGUGACCAGUCAACUUGGAAUCUGCCCCAGAAUCAUGGAGACUUUGAUAUGGCUUUGGUCUGAUUUUAGGAGUGGGAUACAGGACAGGAUUCUGCAGAGAAGAGAUACAGCUCUUGGACAAAGUUUUUGAAGAGAACCUCUGCAAUGGAUAAAAUAUGGAGCUAAUUAUCACAGCACGUAUGUUUAGAAGACAGUGAUGGACUGGAAAAUACUUUCUUUGCAGGGUUGUCAAACUCGUGGAUAUCCUCUUCUUUAUGCCUUCAGUACGCUGGCUGACAUUCACGGGCAUGUAUGCAUUUGCAGUAUAAAAGGAGAGAGAUUUUCUAUAUUGUCUUCUUUUUCCUGUUACACACACAAUUCUGUCUGCUAGUUUUCUCAGUACAGGCACGACGACUUUGUGUCUUUUGGAGGUGUUCUGUGAAGUGCCUUUGUAUCUGACUACCUCAAUACCACACUUGAGUUUCUUUACUUUGUAGGAAGAAUGUUACACACAAAAAUCAAGUUGUUGUUUUCCCAAUCCUCUUAUCUGUAUCUUGGAAGAAACCUCCUACAGUUUCAGUGAAGGACUGGAGUUGUGUGUAACGGGGAAGCAAAGAUUUCUGUACCAUUUUGGUUUGAUGUUGCUAGAUCAGCUCCUGUAUCGGACUUAUUUUUUUUAAACUGUUUAUGUUAAGGUAGUUACAGUCUGAGCUGCUUUGUUUAUUUACCAAGCAUGUGCAACAGGUGUCAAGAUUUUUCAGUCUCCUGAUAGUUAGCUCGAUGCUGUCUUUCACUAUGAUUUAAAUCAGAUAAUGCAACCAAACUGUAAUAAAAAUAAGUAAUAACUAUGUAAUAAAAAAGACCAUUAAGACAUUUGAGAUAUUUCAUACUUAAAAAGCAAAUUCUUUGUAGGAGUAUGUAUUGGUCCCCUUUGCUGUAAGGAGAGGAGCCCUGCAAUUUGCCUGAAACCAGAAACUCACAGAUGUUGAUGUCAGGAAUAGAAAUAAAGCCCAUCCCUUCUAACCAGGUGCCAAGGAAAAUCUUAGUAUCUGCAGAGAAUGCUGUUUUCCUUAAGUUCACAUUGAAAUCAUAUGUAAAUAUCCUGGGAAACAUAUUUUGGGAAUAUUUAUGUAUUUUGUCAUUAUUAUGAUUUAGUAAGGAAAAAAAGCUGCUUGAGCAUAUCAAGGUAUGCCAGUGACUAGCUCAGGAACUCGGAAGCAGCUGCAGAGCCACCAGCUGAGACGCCUGGGUAGGCAAACAAAGAGGCAUGUGCUGUUUGCAGUGUUUCUUCCUGAUAUUAGCAUCUGGGCUACUUGGCACAUAUACCUCUCCCACCCUUCCUACAGCGAGAGACCACUUGUAGGCUUUAGUUUUAUAUGGUUACCCGUAUACUUGAAAGGGUGUCUGUCAGUCUCUGUUAAUCUUUAUAAUGUUUCAGAAAUGAGAGUUCGAGAAUAAUUAGAAGCUUUCUAAUACACUGAAAAGCAACUGUCUUUGUUAAGGACCAGAUUAUACCAACUGCCGCAAUAUAAUAUGGUUUGUGCACAAAUAUAAUAUGCAUGUUGCAAUAACGUUCUUACAUGCAUGUACACAUGAUUUUAGCGUGCUACCGGGAGGGGAAAAAAAUGCAUAUGGAAAAUGUAAAGAGUGUAUGUAGCUAGUACGGAAAGUGGGCUUUGCCUGUAGUAUUAUUAGCUGUAAAUUAAAACAACAGCACAUUUUAGGGAAGUUUUGAAUUUAGCAUGUUUUAAGAUGGCUAACUAACUAGAUUUCUAAAGAAUUCCAGAAUUCAUAGGUGAAGAGAAUCAACUUACUGAAAAUCCCCUCAGAGUACCCAGCUUCCAGUUCCAUUUUCAGUUUGCUAAGCCAUGCCCUGUUUUACUUGGAGGUUUAUUAAAUUAAUGCUGAAGUUUUUGUUUUGUUGAAGACAAAUUGUAGCUAACUGUAAUACAGUACGACAUGCUAGUGUCUUUUAAGUACCACUGAAUCAUGGUAUAAAUUAGUACUCUUCUUUUACAAAACUUUAUCUUUUAAUAAAAGUAGUUAUUAGUUUUACAGUUGUUGCUAUUUUGAUCUCAAAUGCAUGUGUUCAGUCUUACAGUUAGAUUUUCUUUGUGAGUUGAAAAGUUUCAAAACAAUUAUUUAACUUCUUCUAAAUAUACUCUGUUACAAAAAAAAGCUAACUUCCAAUGUUUUGUGCACAGAAUUACUAUCUUACGAGGCUUCCUUUAAUACGGUACCUGAGAGGUUUAACCACUGAACUGUUUGAAAGCAGAGUCACUGUGCAUGUGGAAAAGCUAGAAAUGUUUAGAUAAAAUAUUACAUGAAGUUUGGCAAUAGAGCUUCUGGAAUUUCAAGUUUAUCUGUAAUUUCCCUGCAGAGAUGAAAACACCCUUUCUCUAGGGCUGGUGAAGAGUUGGAGCAGUUUUAUUUACAUCUAGCGGAAAUUAUGAGAAAGGUCACAGCCCUAGUUUUUCUGUGGAUAGAUCCAGUCCCUGCACCGCUUCAGUCAGUCUCUGCCUGAGAAAUACGCCAUGGGAAACAAAAAUUAAAAAGACAAAUUCAAUAGCAAUAGUAGUGUUAUUUUUAAGGUACUGUGCUGAACAAUGUCCCCUCAGUAAAAAUAAUACAAAUACUAGACUACUGAGCACAAUAAAUGAGGACUGUUUUAGAGUCCAUUAGGCUUCCAUUGUCUGUCUUACACUGCAGCUGUAGUGUCAAGUGUUAAAAUUACUGCAAAGUCACCUGUGGCAUAUUUGACAUCCUUCAAUACAGGCUCGGUGGUGUUUAUUUUUAGGUACAUAGAUGAACAAUCCUUCAUUAUUUUGCCUUUUGCUCUAAAUUAAAGUAUUUGUCUUGAAUUUCAAGAGACAUACUUGAUACAUUCAUUCAUGAGCUAAAAUAAACCCAAGUGAGCCCACAGAGGAAGAGAUUACUAUAGGAGAAUGGCUUUUACUACUGUUAAACCAGCCAAAUAUUUGCAGUUUUGCAAUGAUUCAUCCUUUUUCCUCUCUUGUUCAGCAGUAUUUUGGAAGAGCAGACUAAGGAAGGAGCUAGUGAUACUCCUAGUCCAAAAGAAGAUCAAGUCCUUUUUUGGUGAUUGAUUUUAUCUGAACUAAAUCCUUCAUUGCCAUAAUGUGGCCACAGAAGUGAGCAGAAGUGCCCCUAUUCAUCCCAACUGAGGACUAAGCCUUUUAUCUUAUGCUUUUAUUCAUAUUUAUUAUUUAUUUUAAAAUAAAUGCUGCUAUUUAACAUUCAUUAUUAUUUCUGUGAAAGGAAAUACUCGGGCCUGGGGAACCUAUCCUGAGAAAAGUACAGCAGCACAUAGAUUGGGACCAUCCUGCAAAGAGUGAGGCUGGGAGUGAAAGCAAGCUUGUGAGUCAUCGGCGUGGAGCCCUGCUAUCACCAGCCACCCUCUGGCACAAGCCUGAUCCUCGACUGGUUAAAUUCAACCACAAAACAGUUAACUUUCCAGUCCUACUCAAGGGUCACCUCUGCUGUGGCACGUAAGAAAUGGCUGGAAGAACAAUAUUGAGACUUUACACUGAAACUGCAUAGAAAAAUGUAUCCAGGCUGUGUGUUUCUGCGUGCUGCAUGAGAAGCCUUCACAGACAGAAAGUUCGUAAUGCAAAAUUCAGCCCUCAAAGCAUUAAAAUAUACUGGCAUUAUGAAGAGAUUUUAAAAUUGUUUGUUUUGAACAGCUGUGGAAAUGGCUGUGGCUCAAUAAUCCAUUUUGUAAAGUAGCCCUUUCUACCCUAAAGCUGCCUGGAUGGAGCAGGGGUGAGAGAAGCCCUUGUGCACACCCAUUUGUAGUGGUUUCUUCUCAUCAUUAAAGACCAGGGCACUUGCAGGGGAAGGAACAGGCCACAGCUUUGUAGUGAGAAAUCAUGGAGAAGCCAGGGCCAUUCAUGCACGGUUCUGGUGGAAUUGCUGUCACCAAACUGCAGGUGUGCUGGUUUUAUUCCUUAAUAUUUGGGGGAAAGGUGUAGGCACUUUAGGGACAAGAAGCUAUGGGAGACACCUACGCUGCCAACAGCUGAAGUUGGGAGAGAUGAGUUCCACCCUUUGGGACUAAACCUUGUUUCCAGCCUCAAAGAAUGCUAAAGUAGCACUGAAGGACUUGUUGUUUCACGCCUGCCUGACGGGAGACUGGAGGCACAUAAGAAUAGAUUAAAUCAGCCCAGCUGCUGUUGUCUUUUUCAUAUAUUCCCCUUAGUGCAAGAGCAAGGUGCCGCAUGGAUCCUACAGUCCUUCUGCUGCUGCAACCUCCAGCACGCAGACUCCUACAGAGACUUCUGCUCACCCAGGUGUUUCAAAGUACAGACAUGCCCUUUUGCAGGGGAGAAAAGACCCAUCCGUGACUUUUGUAUCAGUUUUCGCUUUGAUUUGCUUCGUUCUGUGUGAUUUGUCAUAACACUUCAAAAAGAACUGUGCAAGUAACGGGUUUCCAGCAAUGAUAUGGAUAAAGCCGAGCAUUAACCUUAAAUGUUUUUUCUCCUUGUUAUGUUGCACUUAAUAGUGCAUAGUUAUACUCCCUGUGUGUUGAGAGAGCAGGAAGUUACAUAGUAAAUGUUAGCAGAAGCUGACAUUUAGGCUUUUAUUAUCACUUGAUAAACCCAUGUAAAUCCCAUUAACGCUGAGAGGUGUUGUAUGUGUAUAUCAGGGGGAAAAAAAGAGACCAUUUGCU